GUGGGGAAUAUUGGGCAAUGGGGGGAACCCUGACCCAGCGACGCCGCGUGGGUGAAGAAAUCCUUCGGGAUGUAAAGCCCUGUUGUAUGGGAAGAGCAGAAGACGGUACCAUACGAGGAAGCCCCGGCAAACUACGUGCCAGCAGCCGCGGUAAUACGUAGGGGGCAAGCGUUGUCCGGAAUUACUGGGCGUAAAGCGCACGCAGGCUGACUUAUAAGUCGGUAGUCAAAGGCGGAGGCUCAACUUUCGUUUAUCGAUCGAUACUGUAAGACUAGAGUAUGUGAGAGGGAAGUGGAAUUCCCGGUGUAGCGGUGAAAUGCGUAGAUAUCAGGAGGAACACCAGUGGCGAAGGCGACUUCCUGGCACAAUACUGACGCUCAUGUGCGAAAGCUAGGGUAGCGAACGGGAUUAGAAACCCGUGUAGUCC
Molecule: ribosomal RNA, 427 nt
Filed under: uncultured bacterium
Lineage: Bacteria
Description: partial 16S ribosomal RNA
Rfam family: Bacterial small subunit ribosomal RNA
Source: RNAcentral